ACGGACGUGGGCGACUACCAGAUCAAGCUGCGCAACAUGCUGCGAUUCCUGGAAGAGGGCGACAAGGUCAAGGUCACCAUCCGUUUCCGCGGUCGCGAGAUGUCGCACCAGGAUCUGGGCCAGAACCUGGCCAAGAAGAUCCAGGAAGACGUGGGCGAUAACGGCCAGGUCGAGUCGUGGCCCCGGCUGGAAGGCCGACAGAUGGUCAUGAUGAUCGGCCCCAAGAAGAAACAGUGACGUGAGCGGCGGCCUUCAGGGCCGCCGUUUCGUAUGGCCGGCAGUGCCUGCUCGAAGGCUGGGGCGGGCGGGCUGCGGA
Molecule: unclassified non-coding RNA, 316 nt
Filed under: Rhodanobacter glycinis
Lineage: Bacteria; Pseudomonadati; Pseudomonadota; Gammaproteobacteria; Lysobacterales; Rhodanobacteraceae
Description: Long range pseudoknot
Source: RNAcentral